AGCGAACGCUGGCGGCAGGCCUAAUACAUGCAAGUCGAGCGGUCCCUUCGGGGGCAGCGGCGGACGGGUGAGUAACGCGUGGGAACGUGCCCUUUGGUACGGAACAACUGAGGGAAACUUCAGCUAAUACCGUAUGUGCCCUUCGGGGGAAAGAUUUAUCGCCAUUGGAGCGGCCCGCGUUAGAUUAGCUAGUUGGUAGGGUAAAGGCCUACCAAGGCGACGAUCUAUAGCUGGUCUGAGAGGAUGAUCAGCCACACUGGGACUGAGACACGGCCCAGACUCCUACGGGAGGCAGCAGUAGGGAAUCUUGCACAAUGGACGAAAGUCUGAUGCAGCAACGCCGCGUGGAGGAUGACACAUUUCGGUGCGUAAACUCCUUUUAUAUGAGAAGAUAAUGACGGUAUUAUAUGAAUAAGCACCGGCUAACUCCGUG
Molecule: ribosomal RNA, 433 nt
Filed under: uncultured bacterium
Lineage: Bacteria
Description: bacterial SSU rRNA
Rfam family: Bacterial small subunit ribosomal RNA
Source: RNAcentral